RNAcentral lists this transfer RNA (77 nucleotides) under Clostridiaceae bacterium. RNAcentral's name for it is "tRNA-Met". It matches the Rfam family "tRNA". From Rfam's summary of the family: Transfer RNA (tRNA) molecules are approximately 80 nucleotides in length. Their secondary structure includes four short double-helical elements and three loops (D, anti-codon, and T loops). RNAcentral also lists the same sequence under 1 other name. Lineage: Bacteria; Bacillati; Bacillota; Clostridia; Eubacteriales; Clostridiaceae. The record is from RNAcentral.
GGCGGCGUAGCUCAGAUGGCUAGAGCACGCGGUUCAUACCCGCGGUGUCGUUGGUUCAAUUCCUACCGCCGCUACCA